GAAGAAAAAAAGGGUUGGUGGGCGGGAAAACAAAGGCAGCUUGGGACAGAUAAAAUGAGCACCGUUGAGAAGAACUGAUAAUUGAUCUUGCGGAUGUUGAAAUGAUCGGGUCCACUCGACGAGAAGCACACCAGUUGAAAAGAAAUUGAAAUGGAAAACUCAAUGAUCGAGAAGGAUUAGUAUUCACAUCGGAGUAUGAGAACACCUCUUAAAGAAAGGUAUGGAAUCAACAUUUGACUUCGAAGCAACUCGAAUACCACAACUCAAAACAAAACAAAGGAUUGGCUUGCAGAAUAAGCCGGAACAAACAUAUGAUAGAGAUUUCGUCCGAAGUUUUCGUGGUGGGGCCUACACGGGCUCGAUCAUACAACACCAUCAUGUACAAGGCAGUGCACAUGACAUACGAAGCAUCCCCGAGUCAGCAUAGCCAAGGACUCUUUAAGACACAACGAGACCACUGUAAAACCAACCGUGGAUAGGCGGACCACUAGACGUCGAACCCCAAUUUCAUAUCAUACAUCCGUUGGAAAGAUAAUCUAAGAGCUACUUGAAUUCCCACUUAUAAACUCCCGAAACUUUCCAGUUAUGCAAUCAGGUGUUGGGGAUACAGGGGAAGCAUAAUAUCUCACCCAAACUAGCAAAUCCUACAUCCAGCUGUAUCCAUCCUUCAACACGUAACCAAGAAUCCUUCGGAAAUCAUUUACCUCAACCUUCAAAAAGCAUCCGUUAUACGAGUUAUGGCAAUACUCCCGAACUCCCGCCCCAGUACUGGGCGGCGUCGAGGAUAUCUCACCAACAACUUCAUAAAAGAGAUUUUCGAUGUCGGCGAAUAAAAAUCAGGUAUUCCAGAACUGCAACAAUAAAAUUGUCAUGACAACACCUCGGAGCUCAACUCCCCGGGACACUGCCACCACCCCUAAAUGUCAGCAGGCACCAAGAUGAAUGUUCUCGUCACAAAACCAUCGAAACGAUUCCAAGAUAUACGCGUGAUCCUAAAUUUUUUUUAGUAAAAUUUGAGAAGAGGAGAGUCAAAACUCUACGUCACGAUGCCUUACCAGAGCGACAAAGGGACUGAGGAGUAAAAAGAAUUCCUACUCUCUGAUAUAUGUAAUCCUAAAUGACUCAAAACAUUUUUCCAGACUCAACAACGCCAACAAUUCGAUCAAGCAGGGGGAUCCUAAGGUCGGGAAGGCUCUGAUACCAACUUGUAACGCCCUCGAUGCGGCUAUUUCUCCCAUGUGUCGAAGCACGACUUAGAGGCAUAACCGCAUUGAAAGCAAUGUCACAAGUGAGGUAAUCUUCACACAACCCAUGUAAUACAUAAGGGACAAAGAUACAUAGUUGGCUUACAAUCGCCACUUCACACAAUACAAGAAUAAAGCAUUACAUCAUCCAGAUACAAUCAAUGUCCGACUACGGAACCAAAAUAAAACAAGACUACCCCAAAAGCUACACAGAUCCCCGGUCGUCCUGACUGGGCUCCACUACUGAUCAACUAGAACGAAACAACACAAAGGACAAGAUCUUCAUAGAGCUCCUCCUUGAUCUUGGUUGCGUCACCUGCUCAGUAACAUUGGCACCUGCAAACUGGUUUUGGAAGUAUCUGUGAGUCAAGGGGACUCAGCAAUCUCACACCCUCGCGAUCAAGACUAUUUAAGCUUAUGGGUAGGGAAAAGGUAUGAGGUGGAACAGCAGAAAGCGACUAGCAUAUACGGUGGCUAACAUACGCAAAUGAGAGAGAGAAGAGAAGGCAAAAGCAUGGUCGAGAAACUAUGAUCAAGAAGUGAUCCAAGAACAACCUACGUCAAACAUAACUCCAACACCGUGUUCACUUCCCGGACUCCGCCGAGAAGAGACCAUCACGGUAACACACGCGGUUGAUGCAUUUUAAUUAAGUUAAGGUUCAGGUUUUCUACAACUGGACAUUAACAAAUUCCCAUCUGCCCAUAACCGCGGGCAUGGCUUUCGAAAGUUCAAAUCCCUGCAGAGGUGUCCCAACUUAGCCCAUCACAAGCUCUCACAGUCAACGAAGGAUAUUCCUUCUCCCAAGACAAUCCGAUCAGACUAGGCAUCCCGGUUACAAGACAUCCUCGACAAUGGUAAAACAAGUCCAGCAAGACCACCCGUUGUGCCGACAAAUCCCGAUAGGAGCUGCACAUAUCUCGUUCUUAGGGCACACCGGAUAAGCUAAGCGUACGGGAGCCAACGUAACCCAAGUUGCCAAGGGACGGCCCCACACGGUGCUCUGGGUUGGACCAACACUUAGACAAGCACUGGCCCGGGGGUUUUAAAUAAAGAUGACCCUCGAAAUGCGUGACUCCCAAGGGAAAAAGGCUAGGUGGCGAAUGGUAAAACCAAGGUUGUCCUUGCUGGAGGAGUUUUAUUCAAAGCGAACUGUCAAGGGGUUCCCAUUAUAACCCAACCGUGUAAGGAACGCAAAAUCCGGGAACAUAACAACGAUAUGACGAAAACUAGGGCGGCAAGAGUGGAACAAAACACCAGGCAUAAGGCCGAGCCUUCCACCCUUUACCAAGUAUAUAGAUGCAUUAAUUAAAUAAGAGAUAUUGUGAUAUCCCAACAACAUAUCCAUGUUCCAAACAUGGAACAAGCUCCAAUCUUCACCUGCAACUAACAACGCUAUAAGAGGGGCUGAGCAAAGCGGUAACAUAGACUUACAACGAUUUGCUAGGACAAGGUGGUUAGAGGCUUGGCUUCACAAUAUGGGAGGCAUGAUAAGCAAGUGGUAGGUAUCGCAGCAUAGGCAUAGCAAAAGAGCGAGCAUCUAGCAAGCAAAGAUAGAAGUGAUUUCGAGGGUAUGGUCAUCUUGCCUGAAAUCCCACAAGGAAGAAGAACGAGUCCAUGAAGAAGACAAACGGACAUAGUUGAACGGGUCCUCACAAACGCGAUGUUAUAGGAACCAACCCGAAGAAGCAACACCGGAAAGAAGCACACAACAUAGUAAACAACCAACACACGAAUAUGGUAUGAUGAUGUGCAAAGGAAUGAUUGAACCUGGCCUCAACUUGGAAAUACAAGAGUGCCGCUGGAAAGAGGAGUUGAUUUUGGUUGAAAUUGAUAUAAAGAUCACCGGAAUCGGAUAUGACAAAUAUGGUACCGGUCUGCGAUAAUCAGCAAGUGACCAUCUAAAUGCAUCAAGAUAAAUAUGCUACAGCACUCAAACAUGGCAACAAAAUACAUGUCAUAGAUCCACUCAUGAUGCUUGACAAAGGAUGAACACUGAGCAAAUGAUAACAGGUUUCAGACUUAGUGAAAUUAACACAAGUCUGGAAUUUAUCAUCAGGAAACAAUCUUUAGAGCAUGAUAACUAUAUGCUACAGGAACAUAUCGUGGCAAAGCAAAGCAUGGCAUGAAGCUACUCAAAGCACUUAACAAAAGUCCCUAAGUGACCAUGAGCCAAAAGGGAUAAGAAAAUACAAUUGCAAGCAUGUGAACAUAACAAAAACAUAAACAGAUUCAGACUUGGUGAAAAAUUGUAGCAUGCAAAACAGUUAACGAGUAGGCAUGUUUAUGAGCUCGAUGCACUCACUACAGAGCAUGGCAUGACAAUCUAAUAAUAAACCAAUGAAGAAGACAUGGCAUAAAAGCUAAACAUGGCAAGAACAAUAACAUAGCAUGCACGGAUCAAUAGCAACAUCCUCGGCAAAAUCGCUAAACAUGUCAACAAUCUGCCAGGAUCAUUUUAUAGCAAAAGUAGAGCUCGAUUGACUCAAGCUAGGUUGAUCCAAAAAUACAAACAAAUACAAGGAUGCAUAGAGCACCACAAUAUUAACAAAACAUCCUUACUGAUGAUCCUCAAAAGAGGCACGGAUCACUAGGAAACAACAUGAACAUAUGGCAUAACAACAAAAUCAGGACAAGGACUUAGUGAAAUUCUAAGUCGCUGAAAUCAGCAUCGACGAUUACGCUACUUUGCAUGCUUGUACUAGUCACCACAAACAUCACAAAAAUACAUGGCAUACACCCAUGUAAAGAUAACAUGGGAUUCUACAAAACACAUGUAGAGCUCAGGAUCAUAGCAUGCACACAUUAAUCAUGGCAAAAAUGACAAAAGGCUAUUUGCUGAAACAGAUCUGACAAAUUCAUCACAUAGCCCUCUUCCAACAGCAUUUCGGGCAUCAAGAUGAGCUCAAAUUAAAAUGAUGCAAUGAGAUGAAAUGAUGUACUCGUCGAGACGAACAUUUUGAUAUGAUGCACGCACGGAUCGGAGCUACAAUGACAGAGUUAUGCUAUGAUGAAAAAUGCAAAAUAUUACUGAGACAAAAUGACUUAGUGAAAAUUGGACCUCGCGGCAAAGUCAACGCGGGCGGCGGAUCUCGCCGGAAAGUCACCAGAGAUCGCCAAAAGAGGUCGGGGCAGCCGGAUCCGGGGCUCUCCCGGCCGGAUCUGAGCCGCGGAGCCACUGCAGCAGAGAACGAGGCCUCGGUGCGCGCUCCUGGCGCGGUGGGCGAUGAGGUGGAGGGCCAGCGAGCGGCGGGGCCGGCGAGCUCGCCCAGUGGUGGCGGAGCUCCGUGAGCUUUGUGGCAGCGGCGCGCAUGCGGCAGUGCGCGGGCGGAGAGGAGGGCGCUAUGCGGGGCGGCGGCGUGCACACGCGAUCUGGCGGGGCCGGUGGCGAGCAACGGAGCAGGGCGGCGACGACGCUAGCGCGGCGGCGGCCGGCGAUUAACAGCAAGGCGGUGGAGGCACUAGGGCAGAGUGGCGGCGGCGAACGGGCCCGGCAAGGCCCGGUUCGGCCCCGGGGCGGGCCGAAUCUAGGCCCCGAGCGGUGGCGGCGAUGUGGGGCGCUGGCGGCGGUGACGUGGCGCCCUGCGUUUGGCUCGGGCGGGCGGCGCGCUGAGGUGGCGUCUACGGAUUGGUCCUGGCAACCUGGCGGCGGGGUGGACAUGUCCGGCCGGCGCGGGAGGAACUGUCCGGCGACGCGCGGAGGAGUAGAUCUGGGGUUUCGUCCAUGAAAAAUGGACGGGGAGGGCAUAUUUAUACGUAGAGGGAGCUAGGAGAGUCCAAAUGAGGUGCGGUUUUCGGCCACGCGAUCAUGAUUGAACGACCGAGAUGAUGGAGAGGGUUUAGGUGGGUUUUGGGCCAAAUUGGAGGGGUGUUGGGCUGCAACACACAUGAGGCCUUUUCGAUCCCUAGGUUAACCGUUGGAGUAUCAAACGAAGUCCAAAUUGCAUGAAACUUGACAGGCGGUCUGCCGGUAGUAAACCAAGGCCGCUUGGCAAGUCUUGGUCCAAGCUGAAAAUGUUUAACACCCGCACACGAAAAGAGGUAGAACGGGACACCGGAUGACAUAGGAGCGCCGAAUUGCAAAAAGGACAACGUGGAAAAUGCUCGGAUGCAUGAGACAAACAUGUAUGCAAAUGAAAUGCACAUGAUGACAUGAUAUGCAAUGCAUGACAUGCAAGCAAUGACAAAGCAACAACAGCGAAAAAUAGGAAGACACCUGGCACAUCAGUCCCGGGGCGUCACAGUCAUGGCUCGGCUGGAAACAUUGAGAAACUUGGUUUUUUAAUUCCUGUAAAUCCGAAACACGCAUGAAAAUCAUGAAACUUGGCUUGGUGUCAUGACAUGGCAGCAACAUGCUAUGGUAAUUUUGUUGUACGAUUUGCGAAGGCACACACAUUAACAACCGGCUCNNNNNNNNNNNNNNNNNNNNNNNNNNNNNNNNNNNNNNNNNNNNNNNNNNNNNNNNNNNNNNNNNNNNNNNNNNNNNNNNNNNNNNNNNNNNNNNNNNNNNNNNNNNNNNNNNNNNNNNNNNNNNNNNNNNNNNNNNNNNNNNNNNNNNNNNNNNNNNNNNNNNNNNNNNNNNNNNNNNNNNNNNNNNNNNNNNNNNNNNNNNNNNNNNNNNNNNNNNNNNNNNNNNNNNNNNNNNNNNNNNNNNNNNNNNNNNNNNNNNNNNNNNNNNNNNNNNNNNNNNNNNNNNNNNNNNNNNNNNNNNNNNGCUCACUGUUCAUCCAGAGGCAUCAUCGAUCGGCUUCAGUUAGCAGCAUUGGCAAAGGAAUCGCUCGAUUGGGUUCAAUUAACAGCCAUCGAUUGAUCGCUCGGGUUUAGUAACGCGUAGCCUGCAGUGCAAUCGCUUGGGUUCAGUUAGAGCCCAACGCCUCGCUCGGAUUCAGUUAGAUCCCAAUGCGUCGCACCCACACGCGUGCGUGUGCGAGAGAAACGUGCAUCCCUCAGCCCGGACCACCCACCAUAACUGGGAACACCCCGAUAUUUUCCUCGCCCUCGCUUCUACCACGGUUUUUUCCGUCAUGGACGGCCCAAAGAAUGUCAUGCAGCUGCGUCUCCGGCCCGCCCAGGAUGAAAAGCCCAUUUUCUGUCAUAGAAGUAGGACCCCACCACAUCUAUGAUGAUACCGGGUUUUGUCACAAUUAUCGUCAUAGAAGUGUCAUAAGUAUGACAAAAAAUUUGUUUGGACCAAAAUGUCAGGGAUGUGUCUUUUUUUUGUAGUGAUGCCUUCUGCUUCAUCUCUCAGAUGCGCGCACAAUGGCGAAGACAGGGGCAGCAAGGGUCCUGCCCCCCUAACAUCACUAUAUAUCGAGGCUAAUAUGAAUGUGAUCAUUAGACAAUUGCUGUUAAAAAUGAUUUAAGUUGAUGAAUUGGCCCUCCUCGUAAAGGAUUAGCAAUGCUUGUCCCCCUAGCUCAUGGGACAUUUUUCAUGGCUCCGCCACUUCGCGCAACAUCGCACGUUCUUGCCCCCUCUCUCUAAAUAUCGAUCUCGUAGUUGUGCCCACUUUCAUAGUGUCCCUCCACUCGGCCCCUCGCACCAUCUUCUAGCCCCCCACUGGAUUUUGCCACAUGUAUAAUCUAGCAGACUCCAUGGUUGAAUUUAAGCAUAAUGCAUAAAUCUGAAAACACCAGUGGUUCUCCUUUGUUCUAGAAUCUUUCAUAUCAUAACUGCCCAUUUUUUUCUAGUUCAAUUGCCAUUAUUUGUUUUUACUUUAUGCUUUACAAAGCACAAUUCCAUGAAUCAUAAAAUAGAGUAAGGGCUUCUUAGAUUCAAAGGAUUCUCGAAGGAAUUUUGGAGGAUUCUAAUCCUUAGGAAUUUUUCCUAUCUUGGUUGUUUGAUUCGUAGGAUUGUAAACCAUAGAAAUUUUUCCAUAUGAUUCAUUUGCACUAGAUUUCAUAGGAAACAUCCGAUCCACUCAAACCUCUUUGAAAGAAUUCUAUGUUUUUUCUAUGCACAAUCAAACACUCGUACCAUCCUGUAGGAUUCAAGACGACAUUCCACUCAAAUCCCAUGUUCUUCCUAUUCCCGCAUUUUGGAAAUCCUAUGGAUCAAAGAGGCCCUAGGUUUUUUUAUAAAAACUAAUUGAUUUUGAAUGAUAUGAACUAUAAGAAUUAAACGAAGGUCUACAUCAGGCAUAUAUGACUCAGAGCUUACAUACUACAGUGUGGUAUUUAUUCAUAAUUUGGUUGCAAAUUCUGACGCGUGCAAUGCACGUGUACCUUACUAGUACUUCGAGUAUGUGCAAAACAUAAUGGCACGCUACACAGUGUCUUUCUCAUAGUUCAUGAAGCCACGUGGCACAUGUGGAGGCGUUGUCGCGACAUCCUUGUGUGGAUUGAUCACAGUGACGUGCUGCUGGUUCUAGAAGAAUGUACUCAUCCUCCCUGAGCCGCAUUGGUGGUACAUGCACGAAGCGAAGAUGUGCAUGCACGCCACGCACGCACUCAUUCCCUCGCACGCACACGCGGGUACACGGGCGGACACAAUUUUGUACCAAGAUCCACCCCAUGUGAUAAUUUGACGCGUGUAAGGUCCUUUACUUCAUUGAUGGUCAAUUAAUACAGCGCAUGCAAAUCGAGUGGACGUGAGGGCAGAAGAAAGACAUGCGCGUAGUAUUGUGCGCAUGCGAGUAGUUAAAUCAUGGGUUGCUAGUAGUACUUCCAUUGGUCUCCUUCGUAUUUUGUGCCAAUUUUUGAUAGUAAGAUAAUAUUUACGCAUCUGAGCAGUGUAGUCUACUUGAAAUUUAUGUGCCACUAAACUCAUCGGGAGCCGUUUUGGGUCUCGAAACCAAAAACCAUCAAUUAAUCUUUACCUUGUUCCCAUCACAUUCGAAAAUACUAGUGCUAAAAUUAAGUGCAAGCCUACUCACACCUACCAGUACGUACCAAACCUGAAUGUGUUCCCACUAUGCAGAUUUUAAUACUAGUGCUAGUACUUAGGUUAUAGAAAGGGGAACUACCUAACCGAAAAUUACUCUACCUUCCUCCUCAUAAGUCCUCCUUCUUCGUCUGUCCUUGCCAUGGCCAGUGUGCAGAGCUCUAGGUCGAGAACUACUCGUAAUAAGGGACCACUAACCAAGAUUGUGGAAAAAAAAAGAGGGCUCGCCGCCACGUAGAGAGCUCGAAAGAGCUCUCACGGGCAAUCGAUGGCUCCCGGGAGCGCCCUAGACGUGGAGGCGAACAUGCGGCGCUGGAGUCGUUAUCCCACGACGGCAUGCCCAAUCAGCUCAAUAAGCACCUCAAUAAGCAGAAGGAGUUCAUCCACGGCUUGGUGGAGCUUCUGAAGGAGAGCCUCGACGACAUGCCCGCUGAUCUCAAUGAGCAAGGGGAGUUGACCGCCGGCUUGGUGAUGCUGCUGAAGAAGAGCAUUGCCUCAGAGAAGAAGGUGACCGGGGAAAUCCUGCAACUUCAGGAGGACAAGGCGAAGCUUUGCCAUGAGCUCGACCUGCUGAAGGAGGAGAACGCCGGCUGCAAGAAGCUGCAUGAGAAUAGUAGUUCCUCGAUGAAGAUGUUGCAGGCCCUCGUCAUGGAAUAGAAGGAGGAGUUGGCGAAGCUCCGCAUCGAGCACCCGGCUGCUGUCAAGGUACGUAAUGCGGCCAUGUAACAGAUGAUGAAGGCUCGCGUCGAGAAAUCCCACGUCAUGGACACAAUGAUGAAGAUGGCGGAGGAGACACGCAAGGAGAUGGAGGUCGUGGAGGCGAUGAAGAAAAAGUUAUGACUCCACGGCUAGAAACCCUUCAUGUAGUGAUAGCAGCGCCCCAGACUUGUGUGUGCGUCUUCCUUGUUUUUUGGGGGUGAUAAUCCUACUUCUUCUUUUGCUCCUGUGUUUCUUAUUUUGCUUCGGGUGUUUGGCCGCACGUGUCACCUUCUCUGCAAGGCAUGAAUAGAACAAUGCUAAAAAUGAGAUGACUAGCAAAUUAGAUCAUUCUUUAUCGCCAAUAGAACAAUGCCUCUUGCUAGUAAUAUAUAAUAAGAGUAGUGAGUAGAGGAUAUGGCACUGGGUUGCCGUGUUUCGUGCUCCUCCAUCGUACUCAAGUGGAAAACAUGAGUAUACCACACGGUUCAUGCUCGGUGUCUUUGUACCAUCUACUCAUCUGCAACCGGCCAACUCUUUUCAAGACACCCUGUUUGCUGAUGCCCGAUCCUCGCAUGUGGCGCAGACACUGACUUGACGAUCCUACGGAGGUUGCCGUGGUGCCCCUCGACAUGAUACCACUACCCGUCCACAUGUCCUUCAAGCGUGGCGACUACUAGGCGGACAUGAAUGCCAACUGGAUCAUCCUCAUCAACCAAUCCUGCAGUCCAUGGCGUCUCGUGGAUAUCUACACCCAGCGAGAGAUCACCCUUCCAUCUUCGAAUACCACCGCCAUCGAGCCUCACGGCCCGCCGGACACUCCUGCCUACUACGCACGAGACACGUUGAGCUUUUGGCUCGACCUCUGUUUGCUAAAGGUUGUAAUAUGCGAAGUGCCCACACCAUUAGAAGAUUGCAUGGAUUACAAGCUCAUUACCGUGUUCAACAUGGGAUUAGUCUAUCUGGAAUCCGGUCGCCAUACAUGGUUAUGGCUCAUCGUCGAUCCUCUUUACCCAACACUUCUGUCUGAUGCUAUAGUGCAUGAUGGCAUCGUUUAUGCGGUCGACGCACAUAUUGGCUGCCUAUACUGGUGGAAUCUACCAUCGUGUAAUUGUUCUAUCUCAUCUCAUCUUUACCUCAAGAAUACGACUGCCUGUUCAUUGUUACAAAUUUAGAAUAUAUAGUAUGUCUAUAACCACAUCAUUGCUAUAUGUUCCUCUCAUUUCCUAGAUUUUUAUGACCACACAUGUUAUUGUUAGAGUUGAUAUGAGAAUAAUUGGUAUCUAAUGACUGUUAGAAUAGAUAUUAUGAGUAUAACCUCAUGAUUGCUAUAUGUUACUCUCAUUUCCAGGAUUUUUAUAACAACGCAUGUUAUUGCUUAGAGUUUAUAUGAUAACUGUAGUAAGUGUUAUGGUAGAAUAUGAGUAGGCCCUAUCAUAUCUGUUUUCCUCUCAUUGUUACAUGAUGUUUGAACCAUGAUAUAUUGCUAGAAUAUGAAAGCCAUUGGCUUAUUUUUUUUUAACUUGGGGUAUGAUUAUGACCACGGCAUUGCAAUUCUCUAUCUAUGAUAUGUGUCAAUUUUAUAAUAAUCUUCAUUCCACACAUACUCUGAACAUGAUUGUUUAUUUUUGUCCUUUUGGUCUCAAAUUUGAAUUAUUGCAGCAGACGCAAAUGCGCUGGCCUUCAUGAUUCCAGGACCUGGAAUCAUACCAGUCGAUGGGUGGUGGUUUAUUGCUCGUUUAGCUGACGGUGGUCAUUUGAUGCUCAUUUUCACGUACCAAAUUGACCAAUCCAUUUCAUCAAACCACAUGCAGUACAAUGCCCAGGGCGUCCGUGACAUUAAUUGAUGAGGACAUGGCUACCACAGUUACACCCAUAUCCCCUGUUGUUUUACCUCUUGGAACAGUUGCUAGAGCUCAGAUACGCCAAUUAAAUUAUCAGGUACUUUCGUUUCUUGGUAAUGUUUCUAGUGUUCAUGAGAAUAUGAUGCUGCCUAACUUAGAUACAUUUGUGUUUCUUGCAAUUGAAGGGCCUAGCAUGGACAAGAAGGAUGAACAUUGGAGCAUGGUCAAGCACGGAGAUGAAGGUGCGUGCAAAGAGAACAAGAACGAAGGUUCAAGUGGAGAUUUCCGGACUUUGAAGCCACCAUGAUGACAUACAAGAAGAAGGACGAAAUAUACAAGAUGGCCUUUCAUAAAUUUCCUCCAUAGCUUAUUAUUGGUGUUGCGCCACCUUAUUUUGGGCCAGGCUCAUGUAAUCUAUUUUUAGAGUCCAUAUUAUAGGGGAAACAACUUAGGAGGUGUUUUAGUCCCACCUUGCCAAGGGUGGACAAAAUCCCCUCUCUUUUCCCUAUAUAUAUAGCCCUUAAGGCUUCGUUUAGACUUGGGUUUUAUUUAGUUAAAAGUUAGCAUCGCUGCAACUUCGUGUACUUCGUUUGUGUCCAACGACCAGACCAAGACCGCUUAUGAAACCCCACUUUAAUCAAUACUUCAUCCAUAUUCGCAAUAUUCAGAUUGCUUAAUCAUAUUCUUGCUUGUUCUUCGAUUGCUUGCAGGAAUAGACCUUCGUGGUCAGGUUGAUCGUGCUCCUGCGUGGUCAAUAACCUCUCGGGGUUGGUUUAGCGAUUGCUAAGGUGCAACGUCGUGCACGUUUGUAGUCGAAUCGUCAAAGUCGUCUCCACCAAAUCGAUAGUUAUCAUCUCAUCGAAAGAUCGGGACCCUCGCCUCUAUCAAGUGGUAUCAGUUUUCAGGUUGCUCGGUGAGAUUUUCCAGUUUUUCGUAGUCAGAUUGCAUCUGUUCUUCAUACUAGAGUCCAAGAAAAAGCCAAAAAAAGAGAGUUAGAUUAGUUCAUCCGUAUCCCAGACAGUCUGAGCCUUUCGCUAUUAUCACUUAGUUUUUGCAUUGUUGAAUUUUCUGGUUGCAUCGUGUGUCGAGUUGCUGGUUUUUAGUGUCUAGACUUUUAAAAUUUCGGGUUCUAGUCACGUUUUGUUCAUGCUAUCUCUACAACCACCAUCAUCCACUUCAUUGUCAUCGUCCACUGUCACUUAUUUUGUUCACCGUCGUCACCACCAUCCAUCCACUUUCAUCGGUCGUUGUCAUCACCUUCUCGGUUCAUCUUGUUUCUUGUUUCAUCUCAGAGAGAGAGAGAAAGAAAUCUGAGAAAAAGAAAAAAAAGAGGAGAGGAUACGGGAUAGAGUUUGUUUGGAAACUACAUAAGUUUGGAUCGAUCAUAGAGGAAACAGAAGAAGCAGCGAUCAUUGGAGUUGAUCGAAGGAAGGAAGUAGGUCACGUGAUUCUGCUGGUCCCUCGCCCGUAGCCCCGUACAUAUCCUCGUUGGUUUUUUUUAACGAGAGAAAAACGUUUGAAGAGAGAAAUUAUAGCAGAUCGGUUGACCUUUUGGGACGUUGCCAACA
RNAcentral lists this long non-coding RNA (12230 nucleotides) under Triticum aestivum (bread wheat). RNAcentral's name for it is "long non-coding RNA (TAES_LNC001496)". The record is from RNAcentral. Lineage: Eukaryota; Viridiplantae; Streptophyta; Magnoliopsida; Poales; Poaceae.